Molecule: non-coding RNA, 73 nt
Organism: Stegodyphus mimosarum
Lineage: Eukaryota; Metazoa; Arthropoda; Arachnida; Araneae; Eresidae
Source: Rfam
CCCUUUGUGGUGUAAUGGUCAGCACACUCGGCGCGUAUUCGAGAGGUCCGAGGUUCGAUUCCCGGCGAGCGCA